CUGACCAAUUCAAAUGAAUAAUUUAAAAAAUAAUGAGCAACAAUCUUGAAAUUCAUAUCUUCUCUAUUUUUUCUAUUUCCAUUUCAUAUUUAAAAGCAAUAGGGUUUAAUCUUUGGUUAAUGAUUUAGUUACCUUUGUAGGUCUACCAUCUUGAAACUGGAAAAAGUGUUUUUGUUGUUAUUGUCUGCUUUACUGAAAAAAAAAAACUGCAAUAUUGAUAUCCUGAUUUUUAAAUUAUUUUUAAUAUGUUUAACCAAAUCAUAUGAAAGCUCUUUAACAUUUAUAAUAUUAAAUAUUAUAUUUGAAAAUAUGAUUUUUAUUCUUAAAUGUGGGGUAAACAAUUCAUAUUACUUAUGAAUGAAUAUAGAUAUAUUGAUUGAGAAAACAAACAGCAAAAGAGCAGAGUCAUUUUUUACAAAAUUCAUAAAGCUUUCCCUUAAUACAAACUAAUAAAAAUGAAAAAUUAAAAAGAAUUAAUAAUAAGACCAGGGAACAGAGGAGCAGGAUUAAAAGGCAGUUCAGAUGAUCCUACAUUUUCUGCAGAUAAUGUCAUACAUGCCCACCUCCAACUUGACCCUUAGAAAACUUUGCAACUUUCUGAUUCAGGUAGUUAAAUUGUAGAAGCUUGUUGAACUUUUAAUACUUUAGUCUACUAGCUUGGGCCAUUUGAAAACUUACUGAUCUAGGCUUAUUAUAAUAAAUUUACCUUACAUUUAUAAAAUUAUUUUUUUCAAAUCAAUUUAUCCAUUACUACAGGAGAAAUACAGUAUGGAUAUUCUGGUGAUUCCUAAUUGAAUAGUGAUGAAAGCAGGAAAAUUAGAUGACUUCUUACAGGAAAGCAAAGAGUAAUCAAGCACUUUUAAUUACUAGACAUACACUAUCAGAAGGAGAGGAGUUAUGUAAACCCUUCCUUAUGGAAGAAAUGAGAAAUCACAAAGGCAGAAAAAGCAAUAUUUAAUUUUAAGUGUGUCUUACUACUGCCUAAAAUGUCCUUUUCCAACAAAAUAUUUUAAAUCCUUUUGCUAGUGAAGUGAAAAUUGAUCCCCACUUUUUCUUAUUUUAUUUGUAAAAUAGUAGACCUCUAGUAACAUAUAUAAAAUUGUUGUGGCAAGCAUUUAAGGGGGAACAGUGAAGUUCUAUUCAUCAAAAAUCUAGUAUUAUGUUUUAUCAUAUUAAUUAUAUUUAAAAAUCUCAAAUAGCUUUUUAAAUUCCUAAUCCAAUUUUAAUAAAAAUUAUUAUAUUAAUAAUCUCAUUGACAAUGGGAUGUCUGUGAUGAAUUCAAUAAAGAAAAUGUUAUAAUUUGUAACAGAUUUAAUUAUAAGUACAAUUUAAGAGUAUGGCUUAUUAGUGAUAGAACCUUUCCAUAGAUAUGUUCAAGGAAGGUAUCAGAAAAUAGAUACUGAUUCUAUGAAUAUACAUUAAUCAACAAUAUUUCCUGUACAAGGCAAAUUUUUAGUUUAUGCCUAAAAGUAUUAAUAUUAGAAUUUUAAGUGGUUAAAUGAAUUAGGGGUAAAAUAUGUUAAUUUAUUGUAAUAUUCCUUGGAGUUUACAUUUUGGGGCCUCUUUCAGGUGAUCAGUGGAUUCUUUCAGUGGUGUUUUACCUAGGACAUUAGGGAAAUUUCCCUUGAUAAUUCCUUUUUUAUAAUUAAAAUUAUUUUUAAAAUAUAUUUUGCUUUAUGAAUCAUGUUGAGAGAGAAAAAUCAGAGCCAAAAUGAAAAACCAUGGGAGAGAAAAAAAAAAAAACAGAAAAAAGAAGUGAAUAUACCAUGUAUUGAUUUACAUUUAAUCUCCAUAGUUCUAUUUCUGGCAGUAGAUGCCAUUUUCUUUUAAAGUCUAUUGGGAUUGUUUUGGAUCAGUUAACCACUGAGAAGAACCAAGUCUUUCAUAUUUAAUCACUGAACAUUCUUACUCUUACUCUGGUUCUGCUUGUUUUGCUCAGCAUCAGUUCAUGUAAAUCUUUCCAGCCUUUCUAAAAUUAGCUUAAUAAUCAUUUUUAUACAACAAUACCUUUAUAUAACCACAGCUUGUUCAACCAUUCCCAAAUUGAUGGGCAUCUACUUAUUUUUCAAUUCUUUGAAACUACAAGAAAUGCUGCUACAAAAAUAUUUCUACAUGUAGGUCCUUUUCCCUCUUUUAUGAUUUCCUUGGGAUACAAACUCAAUAAUGGUACUGCUGGGUCACAGGGUAUAUGCAGUUUGAUUGCCCUUUGGGCACAAUUCCAGAUUGCUCUACAGAAUGGAUGCAUUAUUUCAAAACUCUACCAACAAUGCAUUCGUGUCCCAGUUUUCCCACAUACUCUCCAAUAUUUAUCAUUAUCUUGUCCUGUCAUCUUAGCCAAUCUGAGAGAUGUGAGGUGCCUCAGAGUUUUUAAUUUGGAUAUCUCUAAUCAAAAGUGAUUAAGAGCGGUUUUACACAUGACUAUAAAUGGUUUUAAUUUUGUCAUCUGAUAAUUCUGUUCUUAACCUUUGACUAUUUUCAAAUGGGAAAUAAUGUCUAUUCUUACAAAUUUGAUACCAUUCUUUAUGUAUUUCAGAAAAGAGAACUUUGUCAGAAACACUGGCUGUAAAGAUUUUCUUCCCCAGCUUUGUACUUUCCUUUUAACCUUGGUCUUAUUGGUUUUGUUUUUUGCAAAAAUUUUUUAAUAUUAUGUAAUUGUGUCUAUUUUGCCUUUCAGAAUGUUUUCUAAUUCUUCUUUGGUCAUAAAUUCCUUCCUUUCCCAAAGAUCUGAUAGGAAAAUUAUCCCACUGCUCUACUAAUUUAUUUAUGCUAUCAUAUUUAUACCCAAAUUAUGUACCCGUUUUGACCUUAUUUUGUUAUGCAGUAUAGAAUCCUGGUAUAUGCUGAGUUUGUGACAUUAUUUUCCAGAUUCCCUAGUAAUUUCUAUCAAAUACUGAGUUCUUAUUCCAAAAGCUAGACUUUGGGGGUUUAUCAAAUACUAGAUUUAGACCUUGAUUUUUAUCAUGUGUUUCUAAUCUAUUCCACUGAUCCACUACUCUAGCCAACAUAAAAUGUUUUUGAUGACUGCUGCUUUAUAUUAUAGUUUUAGUUUUUGUAUUGCUAAGCCACCAUUUCUUGUAUUUUUUCCAUUAAUUUCUGUGAUUUUCUUGACAAAUCAACUCCAAUUCUAAAUUCUCAUUCAAUUGAGGAAUCCUGAUCUGAUCAGCUCAGGCUGUCCCAGUACCACACCAGGAUACCCAAUCCCUCAACUAAGGUCUUUGCAGAUGUCCCAUGCACUUUGCUAGGACCCUGUCCACUGAGAAAAACUCCAUUAAAAUAAAAAUCUGCCACUAUAGAAGUCAGUCCCUUGUAAACUGAUUUCUAUCCAACAAUAAACUUUUAUUUUGCAACUAAUAAUUUGGAAAUGAGUGAAUUCUUUCACUCUGAACCUGUGGAUAAUUUAAAGGGGAUAUUUAAUAACUCUCUUAUUUCCACUAACCUCUUGACUACAAGGAAUUGAGAGCAUUCAAACUGCAUCACUAUCACACCUCCUUCUUUUCUUGUGUUUUUAUAAUGCAUCUUAUCUACUAUCUUUAUUUCAUCACUCCUUCACCUCUUCUUUUAGUUUUUUCUUGUUUUUUUUUUUUUUUUGCCCUUCCUUCUAAUUUCCCUCUCCUUUUUUGUCCUUUUUCUCCUCCUAUUUCUUUAUAAGGUUAUUAAAUUUUUUUAAUCCAAUUGAAUGAUUUAAAUUAUUCCCCCUUCUGAGCCAAAACUGAUGAGACUGAUAUUCACAUAACGUGCAUUCCCCCUCUUUUUCCCCUGGAUUUUAAUAGGUCUUUUGCACUUCUUAAUGUGAUUGAAUUUUUAAUUUUCCCAUUAUACUUCCUUGUUCCUCUUUUUUUCCCAGUACAUUUUUUUCCAGCCAUUACUGUUUUUUUCUUUGAUAUCAUCAAAGUUCAUUCAAAACCAUAGCCUUCUUUCAUAUGAUGCCUCUCCUCUGCCCCAAUGACAGAUAAGAGAUCUCAAGAGUUACAGGUAUCUUUUUUCCCCUCUAGGCAUGUAAACAAUUUAGCCUUUAAAUAUUAGACAUUUUUCUCCUGUUUAGUUUUCUAUGCCUCUCUUGAGGCCUGUGUUUGUAGAUUAAAUUUUCUGUUCAGUUCUGGUUUUUUUUAAUAGAAUGAUCGAAAGACUUUUACUUUACUGAAGAUCCAUUGCCUUUCAUGAAAGAUGGCCUUCAGGUUGGCCAUUACUUUUAAAUUGUCUCUUCCACAUAUAUUUCUAGGUUGGUCAUUUUUUUCCAAUGAGAUAUGUCACAUUUUCUUCCAUUUUUUCAUUCUUUGUAGUUUGUUUCAUUGAUUCUUGCUGUAUCAAUCAGUCAUUAUCUUCUAUUUUACCCAUUCUAGUUUUUAAUUUGUGAUUUUCUUCACAUAGCAUUUUUUUAUUUGAGUAAUUUUACUUUUGAAAAUGUUUUCUUCUGGGGAUUUUUUUUUUCAUUUGGCCAAUUGUAUUUUUAAGGAGUUGUUUUCUUCAGUUUCUUUGGGCUUGAGGCCAUUUCAUAUCACUCUUUGAAAUUUCCUCUGUGGAUAUUUGGUCCUUGUCUGAGUUGUUGUUUUGAUCUUCCCUGAAACCGAAGUAGUUUUUUUAUGUUCUUGGCUUCCCCUUGAUGAUUUCUUGAAAAAUUGUUGUCUAAACUCUUUCUAUCAUCAUGGUUUCCAGGUAGCCCAAUAAUUUUUAGAUUUUCUCCUGGAUCUAUUUUUCAUGUGAGCUGUUUUUCCAAUGAAGUAUUCUUCUAUUUUUCUUAUAUUUUUUCCAGUUUUUUGCUUUGCUAUGAUUAAUUCUUGAUAUCUCAUAGAAUCAUUCAUUUCCAUUUAUUCAAUUCUAAUUUUUAGUGUUUUCUUAAGUUAGCUUUCUUAUCUCCUUUUGUAUUUGGCCAAUUGAAAUUACAAUUGAGUUGUUUUGUUUGUUUUUCCCCCAUUUCACAAAUUCUCUUUUUCAAAGAGUUGUUUUUAUUUACCAUUUCAAUAAAACUUUUUUAAGUAGUAGUUUUCUUCAGACAAAUUCUGUUUUUCCUUUUCUAAAGCUCUCAUUUCCUAUCUCCAUUUUCCCUAAUAACUCUCUUUUAAGAUCCUUUUUGAUUCUUCCAAUAGAAUCUUUUGAAUUGGAGACUAACUUUUAUCAUCUUUUGAGGUUUCACCUGGAGGCGUUUUGCCUCUAGUGUCUUCAGGGUUUGAGAUCUGUUCUUCCCUAUCUCCAUAAAUCCCAUCUAUGGUCAGAAUUCUUUUUGCUUUUAAUUUUUAAAGGUUGAGGUCUGCUCUUCUAUAGCUAACAGUAACCUCACACUUCCCUGGGGCCAGCACUCCUGGAUUCCUUCCAGGACUGUGCACAUGUGGCCAAACCCCACUUGUUAUGUUGGGUUUCAGGGUCUCACUAUUUGCCUUCUUUAAUUGCAUUGAAGGUCUCACAAGUAGCCUCCUGAUUCACUGGUUUCUCAAUCAGGUCAGAGUAGUUAAUACUGCAGUAUUUUGGCUAAGAGACUCCCAGUAGAUUUACCUAGUGUGCAGAGGCCACUCAGACCUGGGUCCCUGUACUGUGCCUGUGCUGGGUCGCCUCCAUGCCACCCUAACAUUUUGAUAGUUCUUCCUAAAUAUCUUAUAUAGGAUAUCUGUUAUAUACUAUAUUUUUGUGGGUUCCAUCCCUUCAAACCAGUUCAGAGGCUUGAUCUGGUACUAACCUAAGGGAAACCAGUAAGAACUCAAAGACGUAUCUGACAUAUUGGCUCUGCCUCCUUUAAUCUUUUUUAGAAACUGCUAUAGUAAUAUAUCUAAAUAGGGAGAAGCAUUAGUUACUUUAUUCUGUAUGAAUUUAGCUGACUUGUUUCAGACCUUCCACUCUGUGGGAUAGAAUCUAAGAAUACCAUAUUAUGCUGCAAAAUAUGGCAUGACAUUUUUAGCUUAUUUAUGUUUAAAUGGGGAGAAAGAAUAUAAGAGUCAUGUUGGUUACUCACAUAAUCUUUACUAGAUAACCUAAUAUCUAUUUGGCUCUAUAUACAAGUACAUUUUAUGUGUUUUAUAUAUAAAAUACAUCAGGGAGUAGAGGGAACUCUAAAUUCUCAGUCUGAGUGGACACAAAGAGUACUCUUACAGGUCCUAACCAGCUGGAAAACCUAGAUAAAAAGUUAUCAUUUACAGCUAGAAGUCAUGGGUUUAAAACCCACUUGUGAUACAUACUACCUGAUUGAUUCUACCCAGUUUGCUUAGCCUCAAUUUACUAAUUCACUUAAAAUAUAACUUGCAGAGAAAUUACCUAUCAAUGAAAGAAAUUUUUAUCACUGUUUCCAUACAAAUGAAAUCUCAUAUCUAGUUGAACACAAUGAAGCAAACUGGCAGCAUUGUGUUGGAUGGUUUGGAGAAAGUAAAUUUUGGAGAAUAGUUAUAAAUCAAGUAAUAAAAUAAUAUACCCAGUGAAAUGGGCAAAUGAUCACUUCUUAGUUCUUUCCCUUAGACUCAUAUGAUGGAUGAGAGAAAACAAAAAGGAAGUGCUUAUUUCAUUUCCUAACUGAAUAUUUAUAUUAAAUUUUGCAGUCAAAAGUCAGAAGAAAUAAUAGUUCUUCAUUGUACGUCAUAAGUUUUGUUUUUAUUUUUUGCUUCCCUUUCAAGGAAGGGUUGAAAAGAGAAAAUACAUUGGUUUGCUGUUCAUUAACACAUUUCUUUUAGGGAUUGUAGAGGUCUACAUUGUUUUAGACCUCUUGUCCAUGGAGAAGAGGUAGAAAUAUGUUAAUCAUAUUAAACAGGACGUCUAUGGAUUUCCCUUAUUUAUAGAAUGGAACAAAUUAAGCCAUGCCAUGUCAUGUUGCAUUUGGCAGUACUACAUCUCCAAAUAGUCUGAACUGUGGUGAAAAAGGUCAUCUUUUUCAAUGUGGUCUUUUUGCAGUCUACUUCCAUUAAAAAAAAGUCUGGAUUAAUCAUAUUAUGACAGCUUUUUCCUUCUAUUUUUGGUAUCUGCUAGAGAUAUUGUGCUCUUGUCAGUGUGAAGCAGUGAAUGUAAUCAAAUCACUGAGAGAUAUCUUAAUACUUUAAGACCACCUCUUUAUACCCAUUUCAUUCUACUUAGAGACAUUCAUCUACAGCACAAUUCUAUUUAAAGCAUAUGCUUCACACUGACAACAAAUUGUAAAAGUGCUUUGAAAUUAAGCUUUUCAUAUUACACAUUAUAGAAAUGUUUUCAAAUUAUGAUUUUUACAUUCUAUUUAUAUAGUACGUUUUAAUUGUAUUUUGAUUUUUUUCUACAAUAGCAAAAGAAAGUUAUGCAGAAGAUUAUAUAAACAGCCUCUCUGACACCCCAGGACCUGCCAAUCACUUGCCAAGAACAAAUAAUGAAUUGGAUUUUGAUACGGAGGUGAAAGAAAAAAAACCAAAGCACCAAUAUAAUGAAACAUUGAAGAGAAAACAUGGUAAGAAUUUGACUGAAAAGAGAAGAGCUGGCAAACAAUUAUUUUCUAUGGAGAUUAAUCAGCAUGAUAAAGAUGAGGGAAAUAAAAUUCCUGGGGAAGAAAUUCCAAUAACAAGCAUUUCCUCUAAGGGAAAUUUAGCACCUGUGCAUGAUGUUUUAAAAGGGUCUGCAAAGAUUACAUUAAAUGAAAACAAGGAUGAAGUGGAAAUGGGUACAGAUACUCUUGAUAGCUUCACUCUGGUCACAGGCACAGAGGAUUUUUCUACCUCAAAUUAUGUUCAAGGUGCUUCUUGCCUUUGGGAAGGUCAGAACAGAGUUCUUGCAAGUGAGUUAUCAGUGAAAUGUAAAAACUCACGAAUGGUAAGAUUUGCAAGUAAAGUUUUGGCUUUUGAAAACAUAGAGAACUGUGCACUACAGGAAACAUUCUCAGAAAGCAGAAUAACUGAAUCUCAACAAAAGCAUCAAAAAGUAGAAUGUGAGAACAGGUUUGCAAAGAUUACAGUAAUUGGAAACAAGGAUAAAGUGGAGAUGUGUACAGAUACUUUUGAUAACCUCACUCUGGACACAGAUUCUUGCCUUUGGGAAGAUCAGAACAGAGUUCUUGCAGCUCAGUUAACAGUAAAUUUUAAAAAGUCACAACAGAUAAAACUCACAAGGGAUGUUAUGAUUUUAGAAAACACAGGGACCUAUAGACUACAGGAAACAUUCUCAAAAAGCAGCAUAACUGAAUCUCAACAAAAGCAUCAAAAAGUACAAUGUGAGAGCAGGUUUGCAAAGAUUCCAGUAAUUGGAAACAAUAAGGAUGAAGUGGAGAUGGAUAAAGAUACUCAUGAUGACUUCACUCAAUCACAUGACACAGACACUCUUCUUAAAAGUUACUUACCAGUAAAAUAUAAAAAAUCACAAUGGAAACAACUCGGAAGAAGAGUUAGGAGAUUAGAACAUUCACUUAAGGGACUACAGGAAAAAUUAUCAGAAAGAAGAAAAACUAAAUCCCCACUAAGGCAUCAAAAAGUGAAAUGUGAUAGAGAACUCUAUGGAGACAGAUUGGAAGGUGAAAAACAAAACAGAGAAAAACUACAGACAGAAAUUAAUUACCCUAAUUACCCUACCUGUGCAAAUUCUGCCACAUUUCAUCAGGAAUCUCAGACAAUAAAACUAAACUUUCAGCAAGCACGAGACCAGUGGCUUCUUUUAAAGAACCAACUAAUAGAGAAGAUUGACAAACUGUCAAGUCAGCUUUCUAAAGUUGAAAAGGAGAAAAACCAACUAUGUGAAACCCUUAAAAUGACAACAUUAAUAUUAGAAGAAACACAGAGAAAAUUAAAGAAGAACAAGGAUAAAAUAAAAGAACUUAAAUACAAAAAUCAUAUACUAAAGAAAAAAUCAAACAGAUCAUUUUUCACAAAAGAGUCCAGGCAAGAAUUAACCCAAAUGCCAAGGGAAAUUCAUGUGCUUCAACAACCAUUUGAAGAUGCCCAAAAUGAAGGGGUCUUCAAAAUACAGGUAUCCGAUGAUAUCCAGGUGAAGUUUAACGAUCGUUCCAAUACUCUUAUUGCUAGCAUUAAAAAACAAGAUCAUGUGGAAAAAGAGAGAAAAAAGAAAGAGGAAGAAGAGUCAGCUGAUGAAUAUUUGCAUAUAAUGGAACAAAUAUAUAAAAAUGAACAGGCAAGAGAAGAGGGUACCAUAAGAAAGUUUCAACAAGUACUCAGAGAUUCCAAAAAUGAACCAUCUAUGAAUUCACAACUGCUUACAUCACAUCAUCAGAGAGUUUUGGAAUGGAAAAAGCAACUACAGAAGGAAUUAGA
RNAcentral lists this long non-coding RNA (9194 nucleotides) under Sarcophilus harrisii (Tasmanian devil). RNAcentral's name for it is "lncRNA (ENSSHAG00000023768.1)". Lineage: Eukaryota; Metazoa; Chordata; Mammalia; Dasyuromorphia; Dasyuridae. The record is from RNAcentral.